UUAGCUCAGAGCAGCUGUGAGCAAGGAGCUUCGAGCCUCUUUGCUGGCUUUGCUGUGACUCCAUCCCUGCUGGGCACCGCUGUGGGCGCCGCAAGCCUGCAUGGGCGGGAGAAAUGUCCUUUUCUGGUGAACUGGCUAUGGCCUCACAUCGCUCCAACCAGGUCAGAAACGGGGAAAGACCCUUCUCCAGCCUAGAGAAAGAGAAGAAAAAAGACACGACUUCAUCCAAGACAUCACACUAGAGACGAAAUCUCUUUAGGGCUUGGCAGCUGUCUUCUUGGACAUGACAGAAGACAGCGGGCUGUGUUUGCCAUAUCCUAUGGAUCUCUGAUUGCACAGGAUGCCUGAUGAGCAAGAGCAAUGUCAGCUGAAUGACACCUCACCUUCCCACCCUGCACAUGGCUGUCUGAAUCACAGCAUGAAUGUGUCCUCACCUUGGUAUUUAUUCUAUUAUAGUUAAUGGUGGACGGGUUUUUUGUUAAAAAAAAAAAGUGAACAGAGCUAGCAGAAGGAAGUGGCUGAAUCUGAACCUGUGUGGCAUGGAAUUGUAUAAAACAGAAAAUGUAUAUGUAAAAGAGGACAUUGAGUUCGGAAGGAGAACAUGGUGGGGGUUCUAGAAGGAGUCAGAAGGGAGACUGGCUGGUAGAUAUGAUCAAAAUACAUUGUAUGCAUGUAGAAAAUUCUCAAAUAAUAUAUAGAUAAUUCUCAAAUAAAGCAAAGGAUGAUCACUGCAAUCUCAAUUAUUGCAGCCCGUAUUUUUUAGCUGCUCUGCUGGAGAGGUCAAUGAUAACCUGUAUAACUAGUUCUUCUGGCAGCUGGAAAGCUAAUGCAAUAUAAAUGACUCUGUCCAGGCAGCAAGAUCAUCAGUGAAAAGAAAAACAGCCAAAUCCAAAGGCUUUCUCUAUAGAAAGAAAUCUCUCUAGCUCCCCCUUCUGAUUAAUAAAGGUAAAUGCCACU
Non-coding RNA from Peromyscus maniculatus bairdii (prairie deer mouse), 957 nucleotides. The record is from RefSeq and is a predicted model, not a curated record. NCBI's taxonomy places the organism in Eukaryota, Metazoa, Chordata, Mammalia, Rodentia, Cricetidae.